AAAUUAAUAACGAUAAUGAUAAUAAUAGAUAAGCAUGAUAAUGCAGAUUAAAAAAAAAGGUGGUUGACAUUUUUUGGUAUGUUUUUCUCAUGAUAACUUUGAACUGUUUUAUUAGUCACCACCCCCAAAUGGCAACCCUAUGUUGUUUGCUCCUGCGUGUGGAUAUUCACCUCCACAGUAGUCGAGAACUUCAGGCUACCACAGUUUCUGGAUCACUAUAAUUUGUUUUCAUUUUCAUUUUCUAUGCAGAUGGAGUAAAUAAUUAAGGUCAGACAGCCACAAGAUGGCAGCACAUGCAUCUCUUAGUUUUAUUGCUAAGCACGAAGGAAGGAAACUUCUGAACACGGCAGCCUUUUCAGGAGUUUUAAUAAGUGCAGAAUCUGAUGUACUUACUCCCAAGAAGUUCCACCUGCUGAUGGAUGAUUAUCAGGUCCAGCUGCAAAGGAUGAGACAAAGAAGUGAAAACCAUUCCAUCACAGCCCUUACUAUGCAACAGGAAGCCUGUCAUUUUCAUUAAAACAUUUUGAACACCCACCAUGUAUAAGACAAAAGACCAAAGUAGACCAAGGAAAACAGAAAACUUUCAGACACCAACAGAAAGUCAAGUGAAGCAGAGAAAGUGUUCUGGUAUCAAAUAUCGGCCACCUUUGGCCUAGGUAAUUAAUAAUGAAGUAUGUAACUCAGAUUGUUGCUUAGGAAUUUAUUGGCUAUUAUUGGGUGUGUUUGUGAGCGUGAUGUAUGCUGUACAUACAACAGUGCCCAUGUGGUAGUUAGACGACACAUUUUAGGGGGUGUUUCUGUUCUUUAUGUGGACUCUGAGGGGGUGGAACUCAUGUUGCUAGGCUUACAGAGGAUGACCGGCACUCCCAAGCUAUCUUACCAGCUCAUAUAUUACCUUUGCAAAUGAAAUAUAAAAUAUUUGUUUUAGAGCAGCCUCAUUUGUUUAUAUUCGUAGCUUAAUCUUCUCUGCUCCUAACCCCAUGAAUGCCAAAUCGUCAGCCUUUACUGAAGUGCUGAUCACUGCAUUUCUAACACUUCACUUUAAAUCCCAUCUUGAAAUUACUUUCACUGUAUUCUCUAAUCACAUAUGUAAAGUCGGCAGGAAUCUUCAAGACAAGGCAAUUUUUGAUAAAGUAUGGUAUUGAUUGUCAAUCCACAACUCCAGGAAAUUUGAGGUUGUGUUUUGUUUAUUUUCUUUGUAUACCCUGAAGUGAGGUAGAACAUUUCCUCAUAUUGUCUUAUCACUGAAGAAAGAAUACA
Molecule: long non-coding RNA, 1260 nt
Organism: Mus musculus (house mouse)
Lineage: Eukaryota; Metazoa; Chordata; Mammalia; Rodentia; Muridae
Product: predicted gene, 31531
Exons: 3
Source: RefSeq, a predicted model, not a curated record